This 1342-nucleotide ribosomal RNA is filed under the name uncultured bacterium. RNAcentral describes it as "bacterial SSU rRNA". It matches the Rfam family "Bacterial small subunit ribosomal RNA", at positions 28 to 1381 of the family's 1533-position model. The record is from RNAcentral.
GAUGAACGCUGGCGGCGUGCUUAACACAUGCAAGUCGAACGGUGAAGCCGAGCUUGCUUGGUGGAUCAGUGGCGAACGGGUGAGUAACACGUGAGCAACCUGCCCUGGACUCUGGGAUAAGCGCUGGAAACGGCGUCUAAUACUGGAUAUGAGACGUGAUCGCAUGGUCGUGUUUGGAAAGAUUUUUCGGUCUGGGAUGGGCUCGCGGCCUAUCAGCUUGUUGGUGAGGUAAUGGCUCACCAAGGCGUCGACGGGUAGCCGGCCUGAGAGGGUGACCGGCCACACUGGGACUGAGACACGGCCCAGACUCCUACGGGAGGCAGCAGUGGGGAAUAUUGCACAAUGGGCGAAAGCCUGAUGCAGCAACGCCGCGUGAGGGAUGACGGCCUUCGGGUUGUAAACCUCUUUUAGCAGGGAAGAAGCGAAAGUGACGGUACCUGCAGAAAAAGCGCCGGCUAACUACGUGCCAGCAGCCGCGGUAAUACGUAGGGCGCAAGCGUUAUCCGGAAUUAUUGGGCGUAAAGAGCUCGUAGGCGGUUUGUCGCGUCUGCUGUGAAAUCCCGAGGCUCAACCUCGGGCCUGCAGUGGGUACGGGCAGACUAGAGUGCGGUAGGGGAGAUUGGAAUUCCUGGUGUAGCGGUGGAAUGCGCAGAUAUCAGGAGGAACACCGAUGGCGAAGGCAGAUCUCUGGGCCGUAACUGACGCUGAGGAGCGAAAGGGUGGGGAGCAAACAGGCUUAGAUACCCUGGUAGUCCACCCCGUAAACGUUGGGAACUAGUUGUGGGGACCAUUCCACGGUUUCCGUGACGCAGCUAACGCAUUAAGUUCCCCGCCUGGGGAGUACGGCCGCAAGGCUAAAACUCAAAGGAAUUGACGGGGACCCGCACAAGCGGCGGAGCAUGCGGAUUAAUUCGAUGCAACGCGAAGAACCUUACCAAGGCUUGACAUAUACGAGAACGGGCCAGAAAUGGUCAACUCUUUGGACACUCGUAAACAGGUGGUGCAUGGUUGUCGUCAGCUCGUGUCGUGAGAUGUUGGGUUAAGUCCCGCAACGAGCGCAACCCUCGUUCUAUGUUGCCAGCACGUAAUGGUGGGAACUCAUGGGAUACUGCCGGGGUCAACUCGGAGGAAGGCGGGGAUGACGUCAAAUCAUCAUGCCCCUUAUGUCUUGGGCUUCACGCAUGCUACAAUGGCCGGUACAAAGGGCUGCAAUACCGUGAGGUGGAGCGAAUCCCAAAAAGCCGGUCCCAGUUCGGAUUGAGGUCUGCAACUCGACCUCAUGAAGUCGGAGUCGCUAGUAAUCGCAGAUCAGCAACGCUGCGGUGAAUACGUUCCCGGGUCU